GGAUCAUUACUGAGUUUACGCUCUACAACCCUUUGUGAACAUACCUAUAACUGUUGCUUCGGCGGGUAGGGUCUCCGUGACCCUCCCGGCCUCCCGCCCCCGGGCGGGUCGGCGCCCGCCGGAGGAUAACCAAACUCUGAUUUAACGACGUUUCUUCUGAGUGGUACAAGCAAAUAAUCAAAACUUUUAACAACGGAUCUCUUGGUUCUGGCAUCGAUGAAGAACGCAGCGAAAUGCGAUAAGUAAUGUGAAUUGCAGAAUUCAGUGAAUCAUCGAAUCUUUGAACGCACAUUGCGCCCGCCAGCAUUCUGGCGGGCAUGCCUGUUCGAGCGUCAUUUCAACCCUCAAGCUCUGCUUGGUGUUGGGGCCCUACAGCUGAUGUAGGCCCUCAAAGGUAGUGGCGGACCCUCCCGGAGCCUCCUUUGCGUAGUAACUUUACGUCUCGCACUGGGAUCCGGAGGGACUCUUGCCGUAAAACCCCCAAUUCUCCAAAGGUGACCUCGGAUCAGGUAGAAUACCCGCUGAACUUAAGCAUAUCAAUAA
Molecule: ribosomal RNA, 543 nt
Filed under: Colletotrichum sp. BDS-2011
Lineage: Eukaryota; Fungi; Ascomycota; Sordariomycetes; Glomerellales; Glomerellaceae
Description: eukaryotic LSU rRNA
Rfam family: 5.8S ribosomal RNA (bases 182-335)
Source: RNAcentral